Sardina pilchardus (European sardine) is the source of this 1452-nucleotide long non-coding RNA. RefSeq lists it as uncharacterized. The record is from RefSeq and is a predicted model, not a curated record. The transcript is spliced from 4 exons. NCBI's taxonomy places the organism in Eukaryota, Metazoa, Chordata, Actinopteri, Clupeiformes, Clupeidae.
CCCUGCCCCCCACCUACCCCUCCACAGCUCCCUGCAGACGGCCCCCAGCCAUACCAUGCCUUUCAGGUGUUGCAAGACUAGGCCUGCCUCCUGCUCCACCUGCACGAUCUCCAACCACAGAAUUGUCUGGCUACGCUUUCUUGCCUCCUCCUCCUCCACCUCCCCCUCCACCUAUCUACCAAACCCAGUUUUCCAGUCAGGGGAAUGGCCAUCUGCACAGCCUGGAUGACUUUGAGUCCAAAUUUCAGUUUCACCCCUUGAAAGACUUGCCGCCACCCAAGGAGUUCUUUCCAUUUCCACGGAUUUACCCGAGCAAGUUGAACCGAGUGUCACCAAAGCCACCGCCAAUCAGGACUCACCUACGUUGAAUGGCUUUUGGACUUACCUGCAGUGAAAGGCUUAUAGACUCACCUGUGGUGAAUGGCAUGUCUUCCACCUCCUCCCCAUCUCAGAGGCAUCGUCUGAAAUCAGCCAGCGUCUGAGUAACUGACAUCCACAUUUACAACUUCACAGCAAAACCAAAGAACUGCAGAAUCUAGUAGGCAGAUGAGUGAUGUCUGAAGGCUGUUCAAAUAAGUAGAGUGAAGUGAGAAAUGAAUAACCUCUGUUGAUUUGUAGCUACAAUCAGCACCUUGUAAGCACACAAGACAUCUCUUGGGCCAAUACUGACUAGCAACACUCAGGUCUACAUGAUUUUGAUACUCUAUGGGUUUUAUGUAGUCAGUUAAAUUGUCCAAAAUGUAACUACUUUUAUAAAAGUUACAGCAAGAAAGCAGGAUGUUUCCAUUUUAUAGGUCGUUAUGCAUUUCAGCUCCUUGGAUAUCAUGUGGUUCUGUAACAGUAGAUUCUUUACACUGGCCAUUAACAGGAAUGAUGAAUCCUGCAUUUUGUUGUUGUGACUGAUGAAUCUAUUUUGUCUCUGUACUUAUUUGUUUGUGACACAUAUUGCUUGUAAGGCAGAAACUGAACUGACUUCUGUAUAUACGUUCCCCGUUCCACCUUUGUGAUAAUCAACCAAACAGAUUCAUUGGAGGCAAUGCCACCUUCUGGAAUACAUUUUUAUUUCAGGGGAUGUAAACCACAUUUUUCACCAGAGUAGAUACAAGUUUGAGCCCCUCUCAUCCAAACAAUAUUGUACUCUGAUUUAAUAGCUGUAUUGUCAAAAUGGUAAUGCAGGAAAAGCUGAAUUAUUAUGAAUACCAAAAAAAUAUGAAUACCAUUGGUGGUCAUAUGAAUUUCUGGCUUGAGAGUUUAUAUUGACUAUUUGUUUUCAUCCAUCCUCAUGUAAUGUGAAGUUUGUUGUUGAUGUUAAGAUUAUUCGUUGACAUAAAGAUAUUCAUUUCAUCAGUAAUAAUUAAUUGUAAUGACAAUAACAAUAUAAUUACAUGAUUAACAUUUUUAAAAUGUUUCAGUAAGAGAAUAAAUGUUAAAUGUGAAUUUGAUUUUAAAUAA